UGCUAUUUUAUAAAACACUGAUCGCUUCUCGGCCUUUUGGCUAAGAUCAAGUGUAUAAAGCACUGAGACCAAAAAGCAACUGGGAGGAAAUGGCUUAUUUGUCUUA
RNAcentral lists this microRNA precursor (106 nucleotides) under Mus spretus (western wild mouse). Its description in RNAcentral is "predicted gene, 54940 (ENSMSPG00010014715.1)". The record is from RNAcentral. Lineage: Eukaryota; Metazoa; Chordata; Mammalia; Rodentia; Muridae.